Molecule: long non-coding RNA, 725 nt
Organism: Cyprinus carpio (common carp)
Lineage: Eukaryota; Metazoa; Chordata; Actinopteri; Cypriniformes; Cyprinidae
Source: Ensembl
UUGCUGAUGGACGCAUUGUAUUAUUGGAUCCUCCUGAAACCACACAGUCUGUCACAAUUGUUAGUGAUGCAUUUUAAGAACCACUUGCUUUUAGAUCUUUCAGUUUGUCUGCCAGACAAAGUAACCUUGCAUUUUUUCCACUCUAGGAUGAUGAUGAAGAGACCACAUCUGCUGUGACUGAAUUAGAAAGUGCUGGGAGACCCACGGAGUUGUCUGCAAAGGAGCUGUAUAAGGUCCAUCUAUAAAGGCAAAUUAAAAAAAACUGACAUGGACAUGGACCUUAUACAGCUUCAGCUAGAGGAGAAAAGGCUGACCAUUAAAAAGGCCAAACUUGAAAUAGAACUAUACUGGAGCAUCGCCUUAAGGAUAUGAAGAAAUAGAACACAUUAAAUAAAGGGAUUUUGACAAAUCAUGUCUCUAAGCAUUCUGCCAUCUCUGUGGUCUGCUAGAUUCAAUGGGUGUUGUUCUAGGUCAUCUUCAUCAGGACAGGUCACAUGCCCUAUUUGGAGUGACCCUGAGCCCACGCAGACAUUGAAACCUCGCCCGUGUUCUGCUGUGAGACAGGUUGAAGCAUGUCUGUGGUCCAGGCUCAGGAUCAGGGUAGGGUGUCAUCAUAUAGGGGAGGCAAGGGUGUCCUCUGUCCCCCAGCAAGUAACCAUAGAAGUGUCCUGUAAUGUUUGAGGUGUUUUGUAAAUGUAAUAAAGACUACAAGCAUUUGUCUAACA